UUAGUGGCGGACGGGUGAGUAACGCGUGGGCAACCUGCCCUAUACAGGGGGAUAACAACCAGAAAUGGUUGCUAAUACCGCAUAAGCGCACAGGACCGCAUGGUCCGGUGUGAAAAACUCCGGUGGUAUAGGAUGGACCCGCGUUGGAUUAGCCAGUUGGCAGGGUAACGGCCUACCAAAGCGACGAUCCAUAGCCGGCCUGAGAGGGUGAACGGCCACAUUGGGACUGAGACACGGCCCAG
This 242-nucleotide ribosomal RNA is filed under the name uncultured bacterium. RNAcentral describes it as "partial 16S ribosomal RNA". It matches the Rfam family "Bacterial small subunit ribosomal RNA", at positions 92 to 334 of the family's 1533-position model. The record is from RNAcentral.